CAGCCGCCGCGGUAAUACGGAGGGUGCAAGCGUUAAUCGGAAUUACUGGGCGUAAAGCGCACGCAGGCGGUCUGACAAGUCAGAUGUGAAAUCCCCGGGCUUAACCUGGGAACUGCAUUUGAAACUGUCAGGCUGGAGUCUUGUAGAGGGGGGUAGAAUUCCAGGUGUAGCGGUGAAAUGCGUAGAGAUCUGGAGGAAUACCGGUGGCGAAGGCGGCCCCCUGGACAAAGACUGACGCUCAGGUGCGAAAGCGUGGGGAGCAAACAGGAUUAGAGACCCCUGUAGUCCCUGUCUCUUAUAC
RNAcentral lists this ribosomal RNA (301 nucleotides) under uncultured bacterium. Its description in RNAcentral is "partial 16S ribosomal RNA". It matches the Rfam family "Bacterial small subunit ribosomal RNA", at positions 509 to 807 of the family's 1533-position model. The record is from RNAcentral.